GGAUUGACAGGUUGAUAGCUCUUUCUUAAUUCUAUUGAUGGUGGUGCAUGGUCGUUCUUAGUUGGUGGAGUGAUUUUUCUGGUUAAUUCCGUUAACGAACCAGACCUUAACCUGCUAAAUAGGGUGAAAAGCUUUUGUUUUAAAAUUACUUCUUAGAAGGACUUUUCGUGUCUAACGCGAAGAAGUUUGAGGCAAUAACAGGUCUGUGAUGCCCUUAGAUGUUCUGGGCUGCACGCGCGCUACAAUGAUGCAUCCAACAAGUUUAUAACCUUGGCUGGUAAGCUUGGGUAAUCUUUUGAAUAUGCAUCGUGAUGGGAAUAGAUUAUUGUAAUUAUUAAUCUUUAACGAGGAAUGCCUAGUAAGCGCGA
RNAcentral lists this ribosomal RNA (368 nucleotides) under Hepatozoon canis. Its description in RNAcentral is "SSU rRNA". It matches the Rfam family "Eukaryotic small subunit ribosomal RNA", at positions 1237 to 1626 of the family's 1831-position model. The record is from RNAcentral. Lineage: Eukaryota; Apicomplexa; Hepatozoidae.